Molecule: long non-coding RNA, 1000 nt
Organism: Trichomycterus rosablanca
Lineage: Eukaryota; Metazoa; Chordata; Actinopteri; Siluriformes; Trichomycteridae
Exons: 2
Source: RefSeq, a predicted model, not a curated record
AAAAAAAUAAGUUUUAUUUACAAUUCACAGGAAGUGAAGAAGGUCAAGAAGCUCUAUUAUAAAACGGAUAGUUCCGGUCCUAAAAUCUGAUUGGCUGAGCCGCGUUCGAAGCCGUUGUAAAAUCCCCGAUAAAGGAACACCUAGGACCACCUCACAUCAUUCCAUAUUAAUACGCCACUGAAAAGAAAAAGAUGAUGUUAUUUUCGCCCUCAUGUUGCCUAGCAACACUGUUAAUCGAACUACCUGGCGUCGCGGAAGAAUGCUUUAUUGAUCCAGUAAGAGAUCCAGAGAUCAGAUCUGCUGAAAUGGACCAGGAGGAACGGUGGAUCGUGCUGAUUGGGAAGACUGGUGCUGGGAAGAGUGCAACAGGAAACACCAUCCUGGGAAGAAAUGCAUUCACAUCAGAACGAUCGUUUAGCUCUGUAACGUCUGUUACUCAACGUGAUAAAGUAAUAGAUCAGGAAAUAAGCAGGAAUAAACAUCUCAGAAGGGUUUUAGAUCAGUGUGGAGGAAGAUUUCACAUCUUUAAUAAUGCAGAACCACAGAACAGACAGCAGGUCACUGAACUUCUGCAGAAGAUAAACAGGAUGGUGCAGCAGAAUAGAGGAUUCUGCACUAAUGAGAUGUAUAAGGAAGAAAACAGUUCAUGGUGGGACAAAUUCUGGAAAAAAAUAAAAGAUGUGUUUACAAUGGAGUGGAGGCAGGAAGACAUUUUUCAGAGCAGGUGAAGAGUAGGAGUAUGGAGCAGUUGCAAUAUCUGUAAGGAGUAGUUGCUGGUGGUGGUGGAAUUAGAAAACUCUGCAGAACCCUCUGAAGUAAAUUUAAGUUAAUAAGAGAUUAAAAUUAAAAUAAAAGGAGACACAGAGAUGGUUUAAUUAUGUCAUCAUUUCUAUAUUGCUGUAAUAGUUUCUAUCUUUAUAUUAAAUACAUUAAUUAAAUAAAAUGUUAUAAAAUGAUUUGAGCUAUGAUGAUUGUUUCUGAUUAAAUGUUCUGCUCUUGA